GAUGAACGCUGGCGGCGUGCCUAAUACAUGCAAGUCGAGCGAACGGACGAGAAGCUUGCUUCUCUGAUGUUAGCGGCGGACGAGUGAGUAACACGUGGAUAACCUACCUAUAAGACUGGGAUAACUUCGGGAAACCGGAGCUAAUACCGGAUAAUAUUUUGAACCGCAUGGUUCAAAAGUGAAAGACGGUCUUGCUGUCACUUAUAGAUGGAUCCGCGCUGCAUUAGCUAGUUGGUAAGGUAACGGCUUACCAAGGCAACGAUGCAUAGCCGACCUGAGAGGGUGAUCGGCCACACUGGAACUGAGAAACGGUCCAGACGCCUACGGGAGGCAGCAGUAGGGAAUCUGCCGCAAUGGGCGAAAGCCUGACGGAGCAACGCCGCGUGAGUGAUGAAGGUCUUCGGAUCGUAAAACUCUGUUAUUAGGGAAGAACAUAUGUGUAAGUAACUGUGCACAUCUUGACGGUACCUAAUCAGAAAGCCACGGCUAACUACGUG
This 497-nucleotide ribosomal RNA is filed under the name uncultured bacterium. RNAcentral describes it as "partial 16S ribosomal RNA". It matches the Rfam family "Bacterial small subunit ribosomal RNA", at positions 28 to 507 of the family's 1533-position model. The record is from RNAcentral.